RNAcentral lists this ribosomal RNA (253 nucleotides) under uncultured bacterium. RNAcentral describes it as "partial 16S ribosomal RNA". It matches the Rfam family "Bacterial small subunit ribosomal RNA", at positions 524 to 776 of the family's 1533-position model. The record is from RNAcentral.
GACAGAGGGUGCAACCGUUGUUCGGAAUUACUGGGCGUAAAGCGCGUGUAGGCAGCUUCGCAAGUCGGGUGUGAAAGCCCUGGGCUCAACCUAGGAAGUGCACUCGAAACUGCGGAGCUUGAGUCUCGGAGAGGGUCGCGGAAUUCUCGGUGUAGAGGUGAAAUUCGUAGAUAUCGAGAGGAACACCGGUGGCGAAGGCGGCGACCUGGACGAUGACUGACGCUGAGACGCGAAAGCGUGGGGAGCAAACAGG